GAUGAACGCUGGCGGCGUGCUUAACACAUGCAAGUCGAACGAAGCACUUUAUUUGAUUUCCUUCGGGACUGAUUAUUUUGUGACUGAGUGGCGGACGGGUGAGUGACGCGUGGGUAACCUGCCUUGUACAGGGGGAUAACAGUUGGAAACGGCUGCUAAUACCGCAUAAGCGCACAGCAUCGCAUGACGCAGUGUGAAAAACUCCGGUGGUAUAAGAUGGACCCGCGUUGGAUUAGCUAGUUGGUGAGGUAACGGCCCACCAAGGCAACGAUCCAUAGCCGACCUGAGAGGGUGACCGGCCACAUUGGGACUGAGACACGGCCCAAACUCCUACGGGAGGCAGCAGUGGGGAAUAUUGCACAAUGGGCGAAAGCCUGAUGCAGCGACGCCGCGUGAGCGAAGAAGUAUUUCGGUAUGUAAAGCUCUAUCAGCAGGGAAGAUAAUGACGGUACCUGACUAAGAAGCACCGGCUAAAUACGUGCCAGCAGCCGCCGUAA
This 497-nucleotide ribosomal RNA is filed under the name uncultured bacterium. RNAcentral's name for it is "partial 16S ribosomal RNA". It matches the Rfam family "Bacterial small subunit ribosomal RNA", at positions 28 to 523 of the family's 1533-position model. The record is from RNAcentral.